UAUUUUAGAGAAAAGAAACUUGUCGCAACAAAUUCGUAUUAAAAUAUAUCACAUUUAUAAAUUUUGGUACAUUGGUGAAAAAUGAGGAAAAUUUUACAUUUUCUCAAACAGGGUAAGGAAUUUGGUUCCUCGCAUAACUUCUGGCACAGACAUCUGAGGGCAUGGCCGUCCAAAAAGAAAAUGUAGCCAUUGGUGCCAUCUAUCGACCACAGGUUAAAGAUUGGCGAUCCGUUGGAUACCGACCGACUUAUAGCCAAAACUUGGCGCAAAAAUGAGCCUUAGGAAAUUUUCUAAUUUUUAUAAUUUUUUAUUUUUUUUUUAUAUUUUUUUAUUCUGGUUUUUAUUUAAAGCAUUAUUUGAGGGAAAAGAAACUUAUUGCAACAAAUUCGCAAUAAAAUAUAUCACAUUUAAAAGUUUUGCCGAAUUGCAGAAAAAUGAGGAAAAUUUUACAUUUUCUCAAACAGGGUAUGGAACUUGGUUAGAUUCGUUUCAACUUAUUUUUGUUUCAUAACUCUCUCGCACAUUUUCGUUUCAACUCACGUAUUUACUCUUUUUGCGACUCGAUUCACCACGGCUACAUGCUUACACUCAUGAGUGAGUAAGUGAAAACAGAAUCGCUAAAACUCCUCGUGGUGAAUGAACGAAACUCGUUCAAUACAACGUUUCAACUCACUAUCUCAUUCUUAGUCACUUUGCACAUCUCUACCAUGAACCCUGUGCACCCUCCCAAGGAAUCACAUCGCGAUAUUACUUCAUUCCGAAGCGGCAUAUCGGAAUCUAUGGAGGUGGCCUGAAACAGCCAUGACCGGAGAGAAAUUGUGUGACAAAAAAGUUCACUUCUCCAUGUUUCCUUCCCAACCACGUUGCAACGUCGGUGAUCGAAGAAUAGGUCCAUCUCCCUUUCUUCGAGUUGCUCCAAGCCAACUGCCACUUCCUCUUUGACUCCGACUUAACUGCUCCAUCAGCAAGAGGUUCCCCCGAGUGUGCAUUGCGGAAGUCCUUCGCGUCUUCCUCAAGGGUGAUGUAGAGCGGCAUGAUUCCCGCAAUUACGCAUACCGCAUCAUACGAUAUGGUACGAUAUAACACUGGUAUGCACUGUAUGCACGAUAUGCACUGGUAACACGCAUGACCAAUCAUCUGUGUACCUUAUCCACAGCGUUCCGGUUCUGCCUCGCCGACAUGAUGUGCGCCCAUGCUGGGGCUCCGUACCUCACUACGGACGUAGCUACAUUAACAUGGACGAGGUGCUACGAGCACAGCUUUACACCUCUCAUACACCCAUCAAUCCUGCUGACUGCGUCAGUUGCCAGCAUCUCGACUUCCUCGAUCGUUUCGCCGGAUACUGUAACGGCGAUGCCAUCUGCAAACCCGAUCAACUGAGCUCCUGGAGGCAGUGCGAGAGUGAGCACACCAUCAUACAUGACGUUCCACAGAGUGGGUCCAAGAACUGAUCCCUGAACCAAGGGUCCAAGAACAUGAUCAGUUCAUGGAGGGUCAUGAGUAGGGAACAAAUUCCCAAUUAUCCUUUCAAGCCUCAUGGGACAUCGUUCGACAUGGGACAGGCUCUUGACGAGUUUUUACCUUCUGCAUCACUGUCUUGUAAGCGAAACCCCAGGGCUUCCGGGCAAUUUCAGCACUGAGCUCUAGGAGGCAUUUCCUCUUACUGUCUUUAAUUGCUCUACCGUUUCUACUAAACGUGGGAGUUGAACAUACGUUUCCCACAACAAAGUCUAGUCGAGCAAGGCUUUCUAGCACCGCGUCUCCUCUGCUGUUCGUCCGUCUGCUUCCCCAUUCAACUGCCGAACCAUUGAAGUCUCCAGCGAUAACUACUGGGCUUCGCCGCUCGAGCUUUUCCACCAGGCUGUUUAACAUGUCGUUGAAUUUGCUUAGCUGCCAUCUUGGGGGUGCGUAGCAGCUGCAAAAAUAGACUACGGAGAUCAUGGCGAUGACGAACCCCUCGAAGCCGCAGGAUACUACUGUUUGAGUGGGAAAUAAUCCCACAACUCAGAUUGCAGCCAUCUCAGUUUUAUGCAUGACCCAGUUGUUGGUGUCACUUGGUGCAUGGUAGGGUUGUGAUAUAAUGACCACAUCGCCUUUUUCCUCUAUUAUCACCUGCCACAGGAGAUCCUGUGCAGCCUCACAGUGGUUCAGAUUGACUAGGAUUACUUCCAUGCUUUCCGAGCUGCGAGACAACGGGUUCCUCCGACUUGGUGAUCCAAGUUCCUCCGACGGCAUUUUUAAUGAACGCCGUCUGCGUUUCAUUAAACGCCGGUUUCAUCUUUAUCUCAACGUUGGCAUUGCCUAGUUCGAACCGACUUCGCAAAGCGAGUUCGACUGUCUCUGCUGCUGUGACUUCAUCUAUAUCGCGACAUUCGAUUGUCGCCUCGUUGCCACGUACUGUUACUUUCCCCGCUUCUCUCACAGACUCCUGCAGGAGAUCCUUGUAAUCUUCGAGACCUGUUUACCCAGCGUCUGUAGCUUUCUAUCUGUCUUUACGUAAAUAUACGUAAGAUAUCCGCGUAGGAUUAUUUUUCGUUAAGCCCGAUCACUAUGGCUUCUGUUUUCGGACGCACUUGCGGCUUCGAUGAAGGAUAAGUCCUAGCAACAUGUUUAUCUUCUGCGGGUAUUUGUAGCUGCUGUUUUCUCCUUACAACUGUAUUCCACUGAUACUCACUGCUUUCGUCGACCGAGGUCGGCAUUGUGUUCUCUGUGGUAUUGCUCUUCUGCUUCUUUUGUCCUUCUACAUCGGUCUUCGGUAGAAAUCUCCAGUUGAUUAUGCGUCAGGUGAAAACAAC
This is a long non-coding RNA of Anopheles funestus (African malaria mosquito), 2795 nucleotides long. RefSeq lists it as uncharacterized. The record is from RefSeq and is a predicted model, not a curated record. Lineage: Eukaryota; Metazoa; Arthropoda; Insecta; Diptera; Culicidae. The transcript has 2 exons.